Molecule: long non-coding RNA, 255 nt
Filed under: Olea europaea (common olive)
Lineage: Eukaryota; Viridiplantae; Streptophyta; Magnoliopsida; Lamiales; Oleaceae
Description: long non-coding RNA (OEUR_LNC005594)
Source: RNAcentral
UCACUGUAAACAUAAACAUAGAUUAUUUGUAAAGAUUUCAUCAACUUAGUUGAAUGAGCAUGUAUUGAGAAGACAGAAGAAGAAAUCUAGGAAAUAGAUGUCAUGAUCUUUAUGCAAGCAUGCUUGUAUUCAAGCUAGAAAAAGCCGUUAAAUAUAUUAAAAUAAAUAAAUAAGCAAAAAAAAAAAAAACGUAGGGGCUGUUUGAGCCCCUUUGUUUUCAAAAAUGCAUUUUGAAAUAGUGUUAUGAUAGAAAAU